RNAcentral lists this ribosomal RNA (810 nucleotides) under Triticum aestivum (bread wheat). RNAcentral's name for it is "partial small subunit ribosomal RNA". The record is from RNAcentral. Lineage: Eukaryota; Viridiplantae; Streptophyta; Magnoliopsida; Poales; Poaceae.
AUGCAAGCACUGGAGACAUUGGAAAUUGUGAGGGUUGCAAUCCAGCCAUUGGACUUCCUGUGUGGCCUUGGCCAACUCCAGAAUUUGAGGAAUCUGCAGCUUGAUCUUAGUAUCAAAAUUGAUUAUGACACUAAGGAUACAUAUGUGGUUGGGGAGAAAAGCAACAAAGCUAUGGUCUCUUCCAUGUGUAAGCUAGGCACCCAGAACCUCCGCUCCCUUCAUAUUUAUAAAGGGAGCAGCCUCUUGCAGGAACCUUUGUGUCUGCCCACCCUCGAGAAACUUAUUACCAAGUCUUCAGUCAUCCCGCGAGUUCAGAGAUGGAUGAGCUCCCUAAUAAACCUCCAACAGCUACACAUUCAAUUGGUGACAGUCAAGCAGGAUGAUCUCUGCAUUCUUGGGGGCUUACCCAGUCUGCUCUUUAUGCAUUUGGAGGAUCUCCAAGAGCCCAAUCUGUUGAUUAUGCAUCUGCUGGGACAAAGUUUGCCAAACAAAAAGCUCAGAAUGAGUGGUGAAGUUGGGUUCCAGUUCUUGACGAUUUUUAUUUAUGAUGCACAUUCUCACCCGAUAGAUCUGAUGUUUGCAGCAGGAUCCAUGCCCAAGCUAGAAAACCUCAUGCUUAACUCUGUGGGCAGAGUUAAAGGUGAUAGUCCGGACUUUGGAAUCGAGAACCUUCCUUGCCUCGUUACUGUCAAAUGUGUAGUAGGGUGCAGCGAUUUCAGGGUUGAAGCCGUGAAGAGUGCCAUGGAGAGAGCAGUCAGCAUACAUCCCAACCACCCUAGUCUACUCUUUGAGAAGAAUUGGUGGAUAUAA